GAUGAAUUUUAAUUUCCAUGGUGCCUCAUCUUUGCUGAAUAUGAAACCUUCAAGCCUCUGAAGAGCUGAAUAAAUUAACCCACGUCUGUCCGGGCUUCAUCCGUGUCAUUAAGACCUGUGCCAAGGAAACAGAGAGGCUGGGAGAAUACAGGUC
This 154-nucleotide long non-coding RNA is filed under the name Ictidomys tridecemlineatus (thirteen-lined ground squirrel). Its description in RNAcentral is "lncRNA (ENSSTOG00000034540.1)". The record is from RNAcentral. Lineage: Eukaryota; Metazoa; Chordata; Mammalia; Rodentia; Sciuridae.